Acanthosepion pharaonis is the source of this 112-nucleotide non-coding RNA. NCBI's taxonomy places the organism in Eukaryota, Metazoa, Mollusca, Cephalopoda, Sepiida, Sepiidae. The record is from the annotation of a GenBank genome assembly.
UACAGCCAUAUCACUUUGAAAUGCCAGUUCUCAUACAAUCAUCAAAGUUAAGCAACAUUGAGCCUCGUCAGUGCCUAGAUGGGUGGCCACUUGGGAAUACCAAGAGCUGUAA